RNAcentral lists this ribosomal RNA (371 nucleotides) under uncultured bacterium. RNAcentral describes it as "partial 16S ribosomal RNA". It matches the Rfam family "Bacterial small subunit ribosomal RNA", at positions 338 to 701 of the family's 1533-position model. The record is from RNAcentral.
CCUACGGGUGGCAGCAGUAGGGAAUCUUCCACAAUGGACGAAAGUCUGAUGGAGCAACGCCGCGUGAGUGAAGAAGGGUUUCGGCGCGUAAAGCUCUGUUGGUAGUGAAGAAAGAUAGAGGUAGUAACUGGCCUUUAGUUGACGGUAAGGACGGAGAAAGUCACGGCUAACUACGUGCCAGCAGCCGCGGUAAUACGUAGGUGGCAAGCGUUGUCCGGAGUUAUUGGGCGUAAAGCGAGUGCAGGCGGUUCAAUAAGUCUGAUGUGAAAGCCUUCGGCUCCACCGGAGAAUUGCAUCAGAAACUUUUGAACUUGAGUGCAGACGCGGCGAGUGGACCUCCCUGUGUAGCGGUGUAAUGCGUAGAUAUAUGG